Molecule: ribosomal RNA, 497 nt
Filed under: uncultured bacterium
Lineage: Bacteria
Description: partial 16S ribosomal RNA
Rfam family: Bacterial small subunit ribosomal RNA
Source: RNAcentral
GAUGAACGCUGGCGGCGUGCCUAAUACAUGCAAGUCGAGCGAACGGACGAGAAGCUUGCUUUUCUGAUGUUAGCGGCGGACGGGUGAGUAACACGUGGAUAACCUACCUAUAAGACUGGGAUAACUUCGGGAAACCGGAGCUAAUACCGGAUAAUAUUUGGAACCGCAUGGUUCAAAAGUGAAAGACGGUCUUGCUGUCACUUAUAGAUGGAUCCGCGCUGCAUUAGCUAGUUGGUAAGGUAACGGCUUACCAAGGCAACGAUGCAUAGCCGACCUGAGAGGGUGAUCGGCCACACUGGAACUGAGACACGGUCCAGACUCCUACGGGAGGCAGCAGUAGGGAAUCUUCCGCAAUGGGCGAAAGCCUGACGGAGCAACGCCGCGUGAGUGAUGAAGGUCUUCGGAUCGUAAAACUCUGUUAUUAGGGAAGAACAUAUGUGUAAGUAACUGUGCACAUCUUGACGGUACCUAAUCAGAAAGCCACGGCUAACUACGUG